Long non-coding RNA from Electrophorus electricus (electric eel), 2165 nucleotides. RefSeq lists it as uncharacterized. Lineage: Eukaryota; Metazoa; Chordata; Actinopteri; Gymnotiformes; Gymnotidae. The record is from RefSeq and is a predicted model, not a curated record.
GUGCAGACCAUAUAUUGGGUACAGUUUCAGGUCUUUUCCUUCAUAAAUCCCAUGCGUUAAAGUAGUUACAGGCGUGGUCUUUUAUCCACAAAGGCCGCAUUUUUAAAGCGAUUUUCUUUUUAGUUUGAGCGUUUAGGGACCUGGUCUGUGAGUCGUACAGACACUCGACUUCUCCAUAAUGUAUCUGAAAUGCUUAGUGAUCUCUCAGGUUCUGCUUGUUUUGGUGUUGGAGAACAGCUGGGCGCUCUCUUGUAUAGCCUGCAACUACUUUAACUGCCUAGCGGUGUCCGACUGUCCUGGAAAAAAGGUUUUGGACCCUUGUGGCUGUUGUCAUGAGUGUGCUAAGCAGAAGAACGAGGUUUGUGGCGGACCGUACGACGUGUACGGAACGUGCGACAAGGGACUACAAUGCGCGGGGAACAUACUAAAAGGAAUUUGUGUCGAAAAGAAAGUUGCAAAAAAAAAGGUUGGUCAUUCUUCUACACACACACAAAAAAAAAAAAAAACGUGCGAAGAGGCGAAGACACAGAGGACGUAAGCAUGGUGUCCACUCCAUACGCACGCAGACGGCUCCCCGACGAGAAGAGAGGAGCGGUGAUGCGAUUAUUACACAAGGGGGCGCAAGUGAACCGGGUGACCUCUUCAAAUGAGCGUUCUUCCUUCUCUUUAUCUCUUUAUCUCUUUAUCAGGAGACCUUUUUAAGACAGUGUGUAUUAUGUAUUUAAUUGAGCCUAUUUUUGUAUUAUUAAUUCAACUAUAUGCAUAUUACACUAUUACACUAUAUGUCUUCCCUAAUAGUGCCCUAUUCAGAUACUGUAUGAUUAUUGCAUGAUUCUGAAUGGUGUUCUGUAUGGUGAACUAUAUGAGUUAGUUAUAAUAACGCUACGUGGUUUUCCUGUUUUCUUUUCUCGAAUGGGAGAUUUGAUUAUUGUAAACCUCGCAGUACAUAUUUACACAUGGUUAUUAUGUUGCUUUGUCUGUCUACAGUUAUUUAUAGACUAUAUGUUUUAAAUAUCUCUGUUAAAUAUACAUUUUCUUGAAUUAGAAAACGGCAAAAAUGUUUAAUUGAUGAAGCCUAUAAUUUUCAAACAUCUAAAAUAUAACAAAUUUAUCAGACCUGCAUCUACUCAUCAGUAAAUAUCGCCAUCUACUGGCCGCUUUUUGCCUCUUAGGUAGCGUUUGAAAAAAAGAAAAAGCGAAUAAGAAACUGGCAAAUAAGGAGCCGACUUCAGGCUCGUUCCUAUCAAAGGGGGCGAGUGUUUGGGUCUUGCAUCAUUCGUAAACAAGCACAGAUGGCGACUGUUACUAGAACAUGCGUUUAUUAAUACAUCCACAUUGUCUACCAAACAUUACUUGUUAAUGACUGUAAUUAUAGGCUGCAUGUCCAUUUGGAAACUCCAUGUCCAUUUGGAAAUAGCUAAAUGUUCUUGGUCGCUAAGCAACGGACCACAAUAGAAGGGGCGUGUACGCAAUUAAUUACACCAAUACCAUCUCCAUCUGGAUUAUAAUUCUAAAAGAAGUCAACUUAAAUGAGAAAUAAAUUAGGUAAAUAAACGUUAACACUAUCUAAUUUAAUUGUGUGUGCGUGUGUGUGUGUGUGUGUGUGUGUGUGUGUGUGUGUGUGUGUGUGUGUGUGUGUGUGUGUGUGUGUGUGUGUGUGUGUUUGUUUGUGUGUGUGUGUUAUAGCUCUUGUAAGUGUUAGGAUACAGUGCUAGUAUAACCAUUCUUUGUUACAUCUGUCAUAAAAAAAAUUAAAUGCAUUUAGUAUAAAUGUAUCACAGUAGAUUAUAUUUUUCAUAAAGCCAAAGGAGCUCAUUAGCAUCCAAAAAUGAAAACGAGAAAUAAUUGUAUCCCAAAAACUGUACACAGGAGCAGAAGCUAUUCAUAAACUAAGAAUAGAAGAAUCAUCAGAUAUAAACCACCAAGGGUGUCAUUAUAUCCCCACUAUCCAUACCUCCACUAUCCAGUGCUGCCAAAUGAUCUUGUUUUUCCUUGUUGAUUCUUGGCUCCUCUCUUAAGGUUUCAACUUCAUUCACUCUAGGGAGUGUUUUCCUUACCCUUGACAUGGCCAUUGUCCCCAUGGGACAUAAUCUCUUUUAAAUUUAGUGUAACUGUAAGUGUGUUUCUAGUUAAUCUCUUUUAUAAUAAAAAGCUGACCAAUUCAA